UUAUUCUUUACUACCACCACACAGCGAAUACUAAAAGAUUAAUGUUUGAUUAAUCAUAUAUCUGUUGACGAUUCAAUCUAAAUGCCAAAUGAAAGUAAUUAAAGUCCCAGCCUCCACGGAUCCGUGCCGAGCGGGCGGAAAUGGGAACGAGCGAAAAUUUUCGAAAAAUUUACUUUUCAUUUAAUUUCAACCUGUCUUUAAUUUACGGCGUUAUCAGAUUUUUCAUUCGGAAAUAUGAAAUGAAUUCCUUAGAGUCUUGCAAUAUUUAAUGGUAUGUGUUUUUUUUUAAUUAAAACUUUUAACUAUUAAGAAAACGUAUGUUAAUUUAAUCGUCACUGAGUAAGAUAUUAAUAUUGAUUUGAUAUAAAGAAUAAUGUAUUCAGUUCCUUCAUUUAUUAAUAGCUGGCGUUGUGCAUCCGAGUUAAAGACUAAUGUAUUUAGUUCCUUAAUUUACUAAUAAAUGGCGGUGUGCCGUCUGUUAAAUCGCGCUGUCAAGAUUAUUUCACAGACGUAAUUAAGAGACUGCUGAUUGUAUUUUUGUGUGUUAAAAUACAAAUUCAAAUGUGAGUUUUUAGUUUAAACAUACGAGUUUGAAUAUACGAGUUAAGUAAA
Molecule: long non-coding RNA, 612 nt
Organism: Melitaea cinxia (Glanville fritillary)
Lineage: Eukaryota; Metazoa; Arthropoda; Insecta; Lepidoptera; Nymphalidae
Exons: 2
Source: RefSeq, a predicted model, not a curated record